UACGGGGGGAGCAAGCGUUGUUCGGAUUUACUGGGCGUAAAGGGCGCGUAGGCGGUCGUGACAAGUCACUUGUGAAAUCUCCGGGCUUAACUCGGAACGGUCAAGUGAUACUGUCGGACUAGAGUACAGAAGGGGCAACUGGAAUUCUCGGUGUAGCGGCGAAAUGCGUAGAUAUCGAGAGGAACACCUGCGGCGAAGGCGGGUAGCUGGGCCGACACUGACGCUGAGGCGCGAAAGCCAGGGGAGCGAACGGG
RNAcentral lists this ribosomal RNA (254 nucleotides) under uncultured bacterium. RNAcentral's name for it is "partial 16S ribosomal RNA". It matches the Rfam family "Bacterial small subunit ribosomal RNA", at positions 524 to 776 of the family's 1533-position model. The record is from RNAcentral.